RNAcentral lists this non-coding RNA (18 nucleotides) under Arabidopsis thaliana (thale cress). Lineage: Eukaryota; Viridiplantae; Streptophyta; Magnoliopsida; Brassicales; Brassicaceae. RNAcentral also lists the same sequence under 1 other name. The record is from RNAcentral.
AAGCUCAGGAGGGAUAGC